Molecule: ribosomal RNA, 465 nt
Filed under: uncultured bacterium
Lineage: Bacteria
Description: partial 16S ribosomal RNA
Rfam family: Bacterial small subunit ribosomal RNA
Source: RNAcentral
GACGAACGCUGGCGGCGUGCUUAACACAUGCAAGUCGAACGGAAAGGCCCCUUUGGGGGUACUCGAGUGGCGAACGGGUGAGUAACACGUGAGUAACCUGCCCUUGACUUCGGGAUAACUUCAGGAAACUGGGGCUAAUACCGGAUAGGAAUCCUUGCUGCAUGGUGGGGGUUGGAAAGCUUCGGCGGUUUUGGAUGGACUCGCGGCUUAUCAGCUUGUUGGUGGGGUAGUGGCUUACCAAGGCUUUGACGGGUAGCCGGCCUGAGAGGGCGACCGGCCACAUUGGGACUGAGAUACGGCCCAGACGCCUACGGGAGGCAGCAGGGGGGAAUAUUGCACAAUGGGCGGAAGCCUGAUGCAGCAACGCCGCGUGCGGGAUGACGGCCUUCGGGUUGUAAACCGCUUUCAGCAGGGGCGAAGCUUGUGGUGACGGUACCUGCAGAAGAAGCACCGGCUAACUACGUG